Molecule: ribosomal RNA, 253 nt
Filed under: uncultured bacterium
Lineage: Bacteria
Description: partial 16S ribosomal RNA
Rfam family: Bacterial small subunit ribosomal RNA
Source: RNAcentral
UACGUAGGGGGCAAGCGUUGUCCGGACUUACUGGGCGUAAAGCGUGUGCAGGCGGGCCGCUAUGUGCCGUGUGAAAGCUCCCAGCUUAUCUGGGAGAGGUCGCGGUAGACAGGCAGCCUGGAGGCUCGGAGAGGUCAGUGGAAUUCUCGGUGUAGUGGUGAAAUGCGUAGAGAUCUGGAGGAAUACCGGUGGCGAAGGCGGCCCCCUGGACAAAGACUGACGCUCAGGUGCGAAAGCGUGGGGAGCAAACAGG